Molecule: long non-coding RNA, 854 nt
Organism: Spinacia oleracea (spinach)
Lineage: Eukaryota; Viridiplantae; Streptophyta; Magnoliopsida; Caryophyllales; Amaranthaceae
Exons: 4
Source: RefSeq, a predicted model, not a curated record
UGGAAAAACAUACACCCUUUUGACCAAAUAAAAAAACAUACAGCCUCGUAUUUCUCUCUCCCCGAUACUUCUCCCUCUUCACCUUCGUUUUCUCUCUCCUCUGCCGCCACCGUCGCCGUCGCUUCCUCACCGCCGGAGAUCAUCGUCGAACAUUUGUGUCGAUGUGUAGUUGUUCAUUGUUGGUGUGGGUUGAUUGUUGCAGUAGCUCCACUCUCCAUCUCACUUGUCUCUGCGGUCUCUCUCAUCUCCAAUCCGUACCUCUGCCGUCAACGGUGGUCGUGAAUCCACCAUCAACUUUACUCCAUUAUCAAGUGCUAUGGACUAUCUUGCCCUGCUCCUGACUUCGAAGAAGAUUCUUUUUCUGCUACUGUAAAGGAUGUCCUUUGUGAGAAGGGGAUUUUUGUCAUUAAUGUGGUCUUAAGAUCUCCAUCCAUAAAGGAAGUGGUUGUAUCAAGGAUGAGAACGGUGUACCAAUACUGCACAUUGCUGCACUUCUCGUCGCUCCCUGGCGUUUGCACUUAGAUAAAUGAGAAGGUUCAAGCUUGGGGGGAAGCCAUCAAGCAAACACCUUUCAGUUUCAGUGUUCAAGCAAGCUCAAGUACACCUCACACGUUAUAUGGAAGAAAACCUCACCGAGCCAGCUACUAAUUUCGGGUAUUCAAUAAUCCGAGGGAGCGGCCUUUCACCUUUGAGGAGAUAGAUGAAGUUCGAGAAAUGUUGGCAAACUUCAUUAUCAGUGAUUGUCUUUGAUAUUUUCUUGUACUGAAUCUUAAAUUAUGGAUGCUAGUUUUUCAUAUGAUUGUAAUGUAAUCGACUUUUAUAUUUACAAUUAUAUAUUAUUUAAUUUAAUUAUC